GUCCAGCUGACGAGUCCCAAAUAGGACGAAAUGCGCGUCCUGGAU
Non-coding RNA from Schistosoma mansoni, 45 nucleotides. The record is from Rfam. Lineage: Eukaryota; Metazoa; Platyhelminthes; Trematoda; Strigeidida; Schistosomatidae.